UAAUGCCUUAAGUUCCUAGGAGGAAAUAUACAAAGGACACAAAAGAAAUUCUGGGAUAGGGUGUCUCAAAGUGAUGAGUUAAAAGGCAUGGCCACAAUCACAGUUUCAUGUCUUUAGCCACACUGAAAUUAAAUGGAAAUGUUCAGCAGAAUCAACUCAACAAAGGUCAACAGAAGGGCAAGACUUUUGAAUCCAAGAGCAAGAAGACAGCAGCUAACCUGUGUCACUGAAAUGCCUCCACACUGACGACUGUGCAGGAGGAAACACACUACAGUGUUCUCUAACUGCCUGGCAAUGGAAGUCCUUGUGAAGAGUCAUCAGUGUGUCUACGAAACACCCUGGGAAAACCUUGGAAACUAAAACAGACUCCGGAUGUCUUGGCAUAAUUGGAGCUAGCUUUCAAAUGCAGGCUAAUCAUACAACACACACCACUGUCCUGCUCUUGAGAUGAGAGGAUGGUUGACGGCGAGAGUGGAAAGCAGACUCACAACAGCCAUGCCCACAGUUUGGAGAAUGGUUGACUCCAAGUGAGAGAAGCAUGUGGGGCCUUGUAGAGGAGGACGGGAACACACCCUGAGUGUGACCUCUGAACCUGCUUUCAACCCUGAGACAUAUGAGAAGACUUAAAAACAGCGGCUGACAAGGAAGGGGAAGGGGCCCAGUACUCAAUGCUGAACCACUGGCAACGGAUGGAUUCUGGGAUACGGGGAAUCACUGUCGUAAGUGGAGUACUCACUGUUGAGCCUACCAGGCCCCAACAGACAGCUCCAAACUCAAAGUUACACAGACCGCCCUGAUUAAAUUCAGCAGGUUACAAACCAAAACAAUUAGAUAUGAAUGUGAGGAAGAUUUGUAGAGAAAAGGGGAAAUAGGCAGGAGUAGUGGGGAAUGGGGAAAGGUGGGAGAUGAGAGUGGUAAAUAUGCAUUACAUAAUAAGCGAAAUUGUUAAAAAUAUAAACAAACAAGCAAAUAAAUAAACCUACAGUCUGGGGCUGGGGGGAUGGAUCAGACAUCAAAGGCCUUAAACUGUGUCUCCAAACCCACAUAAAAUUUUUUAAAAUUUUUUUAAAGCUGCCAGGUAGUGGUGGUGUACACCUUUCAUCCCAGCACUUGGGAGGCAGAGACAGAUGGAUCU
Mesocricetus auratus (golden hamster) is the source of this 1135-nucleotide long non-coding RNA. RefSeq lists it as uncharacterized. The record is from RefSeq and is a predicted model, not a curated record. The transcript is spliced from 3 exons. Lineage: Eukaryota; Metazoa; Chordata; Mammalia; Rodentia; Cricetidae.